UCUCUGUGAAAACCCUCUCUUUAAUGCUCAACUGGAAAAAACAGCAAUCCCUAGAAAACUCAAAUUGCCAUUUGUUGCAAUUCAACUUUAAAGAGCGGGUUUUCACAGGGG
Non-coding RNA from Podarcis lilfordi (Lilford's wall lizard), 111 nucleotides. The record is from the annotation of a GenBank genome assembly. NCBI's taxonomy places the organism in Eukaryota, Metazoa, Chordata, Lepidosauria, Squamata, Lacertidae.